GGAAAACUAUGCUUAACCUGACCAAUCCAUCAUGUAAAGGAGUCUGCAUUAUCCAUUCCUGAUAAUAGAACCAUUAUUCAUGUGAGAUGACACUGCACUGCAAGGUUAGACUAUGAAUAUUAGUUUUUAUCAACUACACUUGAUAAUAUCACAGACAUUCUAAUUAUUGAAAUUACUGAAUAUAACUUGGCAUUGGUUUAGGAGAGAAAACAGACAUUCCCAUCUACCAGUCGUAAAUUGGCUCAAGCCUACUGAAGAGUAGUUUAUGAAUAUAAAGCAAAUCCUUAAAAAUGUGCAUAGCAUUGUACCAAAGAUAUAGCUUCCAGGUACAGUAUUUAUCCUGUCAACUUAGAGCCUCUGCUUACAUAUUCAUAUUAUAACAUACAUCCUUGUCACCAUUUCCAAUCCCUAUCAGGACCUGGAAAGUGGGAUAGGUCCAAUUAUGCCUAUUUUACAGAUUAACAAACCAAGAAUUGGCAAAUUCAAGUAACUACCUUGCAGUCACACAACUAAGAGCUUGGAUUCAAACUCAAAUCUGUCUCCAAAUCGAGUACUUUGAAGACUAUGACUUAUAAAAGAAGUAGAACACACAUGCUUCCCAUUAGGUGAGAAAGAAACAUGCCUGAGAGUCUAAUGGAUUACUCAAGUCUGUGCUGCCAAGGAAGAACAGAAUCUUUAGAUAUCAUGUGUUUUACAAAUUGAAGUUUGUGGAAACCCUGCAUCAAACAAGUCUAUUGGUGACAUUUUCCCAACAGCAUUUGCUCACUUUGUGUUUCUGUGUCACAUGUUGAUAAUUCUUACAAUAUUUGAAACCUUUUUUAUUAUUAUACAUGUUCUGGUGAUCUGUGAUCAGUGAUCUUUGAUGUUACUACUGUAAUUUUUUUGGAUGCUGUGAACUGUGCCCAUAUAAAAUGGUGAAUUAAAUCAAUA
RNAcentral lists this long non-coding RNA (930 nucleotides) under Homo sapiens (human). RNAcentral describes it as "HSALNT0144077". Lineage: Eukaryota; Metazoa; Chordata; Mammalia; Primates; Hominidae. The record is from RNAcentral.